AGGCGCUGAGAGGCAAGCCACCGGCACUCGGCGCGCAGGGCCCCGGGCACCCUCGGACCCCGUGCGGAUUUCGAGACAAGGGUCCAGAGAUAGCGGCGGCCGCCCCCAACCCGGGCCAGAGGCAGAGCCCAGGCGUGCGGUGCUUCUCGGGAACACUGGCCCUGCUACCAGAGCCGCAGGAUCCCCCAUGAGUGCCUGUGAAGGGAGUCCUGGAUAGUGAGGCCCUGGCUGGUCCAGGGGUGGGUACUCCGCCAUGCCACCCAUCCUCCAGCGCCUGCAGCAGGCCACCAAGAUGAUGAGCCGCCGGAAAAUCCUGCUGCUGGUGCUAGGGUGCAGCACCGUAAGCCUUCUCAUCCACCAGGGGGCGCAGCUCAGCUGGUAAGGGGGCGGGGCCCCAGGGGGGCCGGAGCUCCCCUCCCCAUUCUUCCACCUGCUAGAAGGGUCCUGCUAGGCUUUGCUCCUCCCCUCUAUUCUGAAAGUGCUUUCCCUUUAGGGCCACACAGCCUCCCUGGACAGGGACUGCUCUUCAAUGAAAGGGCUGAGUGACUUGCUCAAAGUUACAGAAUCAGUUAGCUGAGAUCCGAAUCCAGCUCAACUCCCCACAGCAUGCAGCUAAGCAUUUCCCCAGUGGAAACAACUUCUCACAACUUCCGUAGUGCUGGGCAAGGCCAAGUCCCC
This 678-nucleotide long non-coding RNA is filed under the name Homo sapiens (human). Its description in RNAcentral is "non-protein coding lnc-CATSPER1-2:1". Lineage: Eukaryota; Metazoa; Chordata; Mammalia; Primates; Hominidae. The record is from RNAcentral.